AGUGAACGCUGGCGGUAGGCCUAACACAUGCAAGUCGAACGGCAGCACAGUAAGAGCUUGCUCUUACGGGUGGCGAGUGGCGGACGGGUGAGGAUUACAUCGGAAUCUACUUUUUCGUGGGGGAUAACGUAGGGAAACUUACGCUAAUACCGCAUACGACCUACGGGUGAAAGCAGGGGAUCUUCGGACCUUGCGCGAUUGAAUGAGCCGAUGUCGGAUUAGCUAGUUGGCGGGGUAAAGGCCCACCAAGGCGACGAUCCGUAGCUGGUCUGAGAGGAUGAUCGGCCAAACUGGACCUGAGACACGGUCCAGCCUCCUACGGGAGGCAGCAGUGGGGAAUAUUGAACAAUGGGCGCAAGCCUGAUCCAGCCAUACCGCGUGGGUGAAGAAGGCCGUCGGGUUGUAAAGCCCUUUUGUUGGGAAAGAAAAGCAGCAGGUUAAUACCCCGCUGUUCUGACGGUACCCAAAGAAUAAGCACCGGCUACUUCGUG
This 491-nucleotide ribosomal RNA is filed under the name uncultured bacterium. RNAcentral describes it as "partial 16S ribosomal RNA". It matches the Rfam family "Bacterial small subunit ribosomal RNA", at positions 29 to 507 of the family's 1533-position model. The record is from RNAcentral.